This 253-nucleotide ribosomal RNA is filed under the name uncultured bacterium. RNAcentral's name for it is "partial 16S ribosomal RNA". It matches the Rfam family "Bacterial small subunit ribosomal RNA", at positions 524 to 776 of the family's 1533-position model. The record is from RNAcentral.
UACGGAGGGGGCUAGCGUUGUUCGGAAUUACUGGGCGUAAAGCGCGCGUAGGCGGCUUUGUAAGUUAGAGGUGAAAGCCCGGAGCUCAACUCCGGAAUUGCCUUUAAGACUGCAUCGCUAGAAUCAUGGAGAGGUUAGUGGAAUUCCGAGUGUAGAGGUGAAAUUCGUAGAUAUUCGGAAGAACACCAGUGGCGAAGGCGACUAACUGGACAUGUAUUGACGCUGAGGCACGAAAGCGUGGGGAGCAAACAGG